This 724-nucleotide ribosomal RNA is filed under the name uncultured bacterium. RNAcentral's name for it is "bacterial SSU rRNA". It matches the Rfam family "Bacterial small subunit ribosomal RNA", at positions 59 to 777 of the family's 1533-position model. The record is from RNAcentral.
CAGUCGAACGGUAACGGCCGCAAGGUGCUGACGAGUGGCGAACGGGUGAGUAAUGCAUCGGAACGUGCCCAAUCGUGGGGGAUAACGCAGCGAAAGCUGUGCUAAUACCGCAUACGAUCUACGGAUGAAAGCGGGGGACUCAGCAAUGAGCCUCGCGCGAUUGGAGCGGCCGAUGUCAGAUUAGGUAGUUGGUGGGGUAAAGGCUCACCAAGCCAACGAUCUGUAGCUGGUCUGAGAGGACGACCAGCCACACUGGAACUGAGACACGGUCCAGACUCCUACGGGAGGCAGCAGUGGGGAAUUUUGGACAAUGGGCGAAAGCCUGAUCCAGCAAUGCCGCGUGCAGGAAGAAGGCCUUCGGGUUGUAAACUGCUUUUGUACGGAACGAAACGGUCUGGGUUAAUACCCUGGGCUAAUGACGGUACCGUAAGAAUAAGCACCGGCUAACUACGUGCCAGCAGCCGCGGUAAUACGUAGGGUGCGAGCGUUAAUCGGAAUUACUGGGCGUAAAGCGUGCGCAGGCGGUUUUGUAAGACAGUCGUGAAAUCCCCGGGCUCAACCUGGGAAUGGCGAUUGUGACUGCAAGGCUGGAGUGCGGCAGAGGGGGAUGGAAUUCCGCGUGUAGCAGUGAAAUGCGUAGAUAUGCGGAGGAACACCGAUGGCGAAGGCAAUCCCCUGGGCCUGCACUGACGCUCAUGCACGAAAGCGUGGGGAGCAAACAGGA